GAGUUUGAUCGUGGCUCAGAUUGAACGCUGGCGGCAUGCCUUACACAUGCAAGUCGAACGGCAGCAUGAUCUAGCUUGCUAGAUUGAUGGCGAGUGGCGAACGGGUGAGUAAUACAUCGGAACGUGCCCUGUAGUGGGGGAUAACUAGUCGAAAGAUUAGCUAAUACCGCAUACGACCUGAGGGUGAAAGUGGGGGACCGCAAGGCCUCAUGCUAUAGGAGCGGCCGAUGUCUGAUUAGCUAGUUGGUGGGGUAAAGGCCCACCAAGGCGACGGAUCAGUAGCUGGUCUGAGAGGACGAUCAGCCACACUGGGACUGAGACACGGCCCAGACUCCUACGGGAGGCAGCAGUGGGGAAUUUUGGACAAUGGGCGAAAGCCUGAUCCAGCAAUGCCGCGUGUGUGAAGAAGGCCUUCGGGUUGUAAGG
This 426-nucleotide ribosomal RNA is filed under the name uncultured microorganism. RNAcentral describes it as "bacterial SSU rRNA". It matches the Rfam family "Bacterial small subunit ribosomal RNA", at positions 9 to 430 of the family's 1533-position model. The record is from RNAcentral.